AUUGAACGCUGGCGGCAGGCUUAACACAUGCAAGUCGAGCGGGGGAAGGUAGCUUGCUACUGGACCUAGCGGCGGACGGGUGAGUAAUGCUUAGGAAUCUGCCUAUUAGUGGGGGACAACAUCUCGAAAGGGAUGCUAAUACCGCAUACGUCCUACGGGAGAAAGCAGGGGAUCUUCGGACCUUGCGCUAGUAGAUGAGCCUAAGUCGGAUUAGCUAGUUGGUGGGGUAAAGGCCUACCAAGGCGACGAUCUGUAGCGGGUCUGAGAGGAUGAUCCGCCACACUGGACUGAGACAAGGCCCAGACUCCUACGGGAGGCAGCAGUGGGGAAUAUUGGACAAUGGGGGGAACCCUGAUCCAGCCAUGCCGCGUGUGUGAAGAAGGCCUUAUGGUUGUAAAGCACUUUAAGCGAGGAGGAGGCUACUUUAGUUAAUACCUAGAGAUAGUGGACGUUACUCGCAGAAUAAGCACCGGCUAACUCUGUGCCAGCCGCCGCCGUAA
Molecule: ribosomal RNA, 500 nt
Filed under: uncultured bacterium
Lineage: Bacteria
Description: partial 16S ribosomal RNA
Rfam family: Bacterial small subunit ribosomal RNA
Source: RNAcentral